AGUGAACGCUGGCGGUAGGCCUAACACAUGCAAGUCGAACGGCAGCACAGUAAGAGCUUGCUCUUACGGGUGGCGAGUGGCGGACGGGUGAGGAAUACAUCGGAAUCUACUUUUUCGUGGGGGAUAACGUAGGGAAACUUACGCUAAUACCGCAUACGACCUACGGGUGAAAGCAGAGGAUCUUCGGACCUUGCGCGAUUGAAUGAGCCGAUGUCGGAUUAGCUGGUUGGCGGGGUAAAGGCCCACCAAGGCGACGAUCCGUAGCUGGUCUGAGAGGAUGAUCAGCCACACUGGGACUGAGACACGGUCCAGACUCCUACGGGAGGCAGCAGUGGGGAAUAUUGGACAAUGGGCGGAAGCCUGAUCCAGCCAUGCCGCGUGGGUGAAGAAGGCCUGCGUGUUGUAAAGCCCUUUUGUGGGGAAAGAAAAGCAGCAGGUUAAUACCCCGCUGUUCUGACGGUACCCAAAGAAUAAGCACCGGCUAACUACGUG
RNAcentral lists this ribosomal RNA (492 nucleotides) under uncultured bacterium. Its description in RNAcentral is "partial 16S ribosomal RNA". It matches the Rfam family "Bacterial small subunit ribosomal RNA", at positions 29 to 507 of the family's 1533-position model. The record is from RNAcentral.